RNAcentral lists this non-coding RNA (217 nucleotides) under Staphylococcus phage PM34. Its description in RNAcentral is "Intron_gpI". It matches the Rfam family "Group I catalytic intron". From Rfam's summary of the family: Group I catalytic introns are large self-splicing ribozymes. They catalyse their own excision from mRNA, tRNA and rRNA precursors in a wide range of organisms. Lineage: Duplodnaviria; Heunggongvirae; Uroviricota; Caudoviricetes; Herelleviridae. The record is from RNAcentral.
GAAGAAUGCUCCUUUAACUAGAAAUAGUUAUAGCAAAUCCCUUUAAUUCAUGGGAACCCUUAACAGAUAAUGCUGAAGGCAAUCAUGAGCCAAGCCUAGUAAAGUACUAGGAAGGUGCAACGACUAGUCAGAAUGACGUACAUCUAAGCAGAUGGAAAUAGGGGACACCUUCAAUAUUAAGGUGAAGAUAUAGUCUGAACUAUAUAGAAAUAUAUAG